RNAcentral lists this ribosomal RNA (1893 nucleotides) under human gut metagenome. Its description in RNAcentral is "bacterial LSU rRNA". It matches the Rfam family "Bacterial large subunit ribosomal RNA", at positions 178 to 1999 of the family's 2925-position model. The record is from RNAcentral.
GGGGAACGCGGGGAACUGAAACAUCUAAGUACCCGUAGGAAGAGAAAGAAACAUCGAUUUCCAAAGUAGCGGCGAGCGAAAUGGAAAGAGGCCAAACCAGCUGCUUGCAGCUGGGGUUGUGGACCACUUGAAAACGCGAGGAUAUUGAUAGCCGAACAUAUCUGGAAAGAUAGACCGAAGGAGGUAAAAGUCCUGUAGGCGAAAUCGAGAAGGCGCGAAGUGGCACCAGAGUAGGACCGGGCACGUGGAACCCGGUUUGAAGCAGGAGGGACCACCCUCCAAGCCUAAAUACUACCUAGUGACCGAUAGCGAAUAGUACCGUGAGGGAAAGGUGAAAAGAACCCCGGGAGGGGAGUGAAAUAGAAACUGAAACCGUAUGCUUACAAAAAGUUCGAGCACAUUAAUGUGUGAGAGCGUGCCUUUUGCAGAAUGAACCGGCGAGUUAUUGUAUUAUGCAAGGUUAAGUGGAAAACACGGAGCCGAAGCGAAAGCGAGUCUUAAUAGACCUUGUACUUUUUGUAGAACGGGCCAACGAGUUAUGGUAUGCAGCGAGGUUAAGUACCUGGAGGUACGGAGCCGUAGGGAAACCGAGUCUUAAUAGGGCCAAAGUUGCAUGCUGUAGACCCGAAACCGGGUGACCUAUCCAUGUGCAGGUUGAAGCGAGAGUAAAAUCUCGUGGAGGACCGAACCCAUAUCCGUUGAAAAGGGUUGGGAUGACGUGUGGAUAGCGGUGAAAUUCCAAUCGAACUCGGAGAUAGCUGGUUCUCCUCGAAAUAGCUUUAGGGCUAGCCUCAAGGAAGAGAUACACGGGGGUAGAGCACUGAAUGUUCUAGGGGCCUUCACCGGUUACCGAAAACUAUCAAACUCCGAAUGCCGUGCAAUCAUACCUGGGAGUCAGACUAUGAGAGAUAAGUUCCAUGGUCGAAAGGGAAAGAGCCCAGACCUACAGCUAAGGUCCCAAAAUGUAAGUUAAGUGGAAAAGGAUGUGGAGCUGCAUAAACAGCUAGGAUGUUGGCUUAGAAGCAGCCACUCAUUUAAAGAGUGCGUAACAGCUCACUAGUCGAGUGGCUCUGCGCCGAAGAUAAACGGGGCUAAAACUUACUACCGAAGCUUAGGAUACCGCAAGGUAUGGUAGAGGAGCAUUCAUUACGGGCAGAAGCUUAAUCGUAAGGUUAGGUGGACUGUAAUGAAGAGAGAAUGUUGGCAUGAGUAGCGAAAGGCAGGUGAGAAUCCUGCCCACCGAAAAUCUAAGGUUUCCUGAGGAAGGUUCGUCCACUCAGGGUUAGUCGGGGCCUAAGCCAAGGACGAGAGUCGUAGGCGAUGGACAACUGGUUGAGAUUCCAGUACCACCGAAAGUCGUAUGAGCGAAGUGGGGACACAGAAGGAUAAGCAGAGCACGCCGCUGGUAGAGCGUGUCCAAGCAGUGAGGCUGAUAUGCAGGCAAAUCCGCAUAUCGAAAGGCUGGGCUGUUACGGGGAGGGAAAAGAAGUACCGGAAGCUGCUGAUUUCACACUGUCAAGAAAAGCCGCUAGCGAGACCGUAGGUGCCCGUACCGCAAACCGACACAGGUAGAUGAGGAGAGAAUCCUAAGGUGAGCGAGAGAACUAUUGUUAAGGAACUCGGCAAAAUAACCCCGUAACUUCGGGAGAAGGGGUGCCUGCGAAAGCAGGCCGCAGUGAAGAGGUCCAGGCAACUGUUUACCAAAAACACAGGUCUCUGCUAAAGCGAAAGCUGAAGUAUAGGGGCUGACGCCUGCCCGGUGCUGGAAGGUUAAGGGGAAGUGUUAGGGCAACCGAAGCACCGAACUUAAGCCCCAGUAAACGGCGGCCGUAACUAUAACGGUCCUAAGGUAGCGAAAUUCCUUGUCGGGUAAGUUCCGACCCGCACGAAAGG